UACAGGGGGGGCAAGCGUUGUUCGGAAUUACUGGGCGUAAAGAGCUCGUAGGCGGUCUGUUGCGUCGGCUGUGAAAACCCGAGGCUCAACCUCGGGCCUGCAGCCGAUACGGGCAGACUAGAGUUCGGCAGGGGAGACUGGAAUUCCUGGUGUAGCGGUGAAAUGCGCAGAUAUCAGGAGGAACACCGGUGGCGAAGGCGGGUCUCUGGGCCGAUACUGACGCUGAGGAGCGAAAGCGUGGGGAGCGAACAGG
This 253-nucleotide ribosomal RNA is filed under the name uncultured bacterium. RNAcentral describes it as "partial 16S ribosomal RNA". It matches the Rfam family "Bacterial small subunit ribosomal RNA", at positions 524 to 776 of the family's 1533-position model. The record is from RNAcentral.